This 479-nucleotide ribosomal RNA is filed under the name uncultured bacterium. RNAcentral describes it as "partial 16S ribosomal RNA". It matches the Rfam family "Bacterial small subunit ribosomal RNA", at positions 28 to 507 of the family's 1533-position model. The record is from RNAcentral.
GAUGAACGCUGGCGGCGUGCUUAACACAUGCAAGUCGAACGAAGCACUUUAACCUGAUUCUUCGGAUGCAGGUUUUUGUGACUGAGUGGCGGACGGGUGAGUAACGCGUGGGUAACCUGCCUCAUACAGGGGGAUAACAGUUAGAAAUGACUGCUAAUACCGCAUAAGACCACAGAGCCGCAUGGCUCGGUGGGAAAAACUCCGGUGGUAUGAGAUGGACCCGCGUCUGAUUAGGUAGUUGGUGGGGUAACGGCCUACCAAGCCAACGAUCAGUAGCCGACCUGAGAGGGUGACCGGCCACAUUGGGACUGAGACACGGCCCAAACUCCUACGGGAAGCAGCAGUGGGGAAUAUUGCACAAUGGGGGAAACCCUGAUGCAGCGACGCCGCGUGAGCGAAGAAGUAUUUCGGUAUGUAAAGCUCUAUCAGCAGGGAAGAAAAUGACGGUACCUGACGAAGAAGCACCGGCUAAAUACGUG